RNAcentral lists this ribosomal RNA (462 nucleotides) under uncultured ammonia-oxidizing beta proteobacterium. Its description in RNAcentral is "bacterial SSU rRNA". It matches the Rfam family "Bacterial small subunit ribosomal RNA", at positions 202 to 647 of the family's 1533-position model. The record is from RNAcentral. Lineage: Bacteria; Pseudomonadati; Pseudomonadota; Betaproteobacteria.
AAGCAGGGGAUCGCAAGACCUUGCGCUUUUGGAGCGGCCGAUGCCUGAUUAGCUAGUUGGUGGGGUAAGGGCCUACCAAGGCGACGAUCAGUAGUUGGUCUGAGAGGACGACCAGCCACACUGGGACUGAGACACGGCCCAGACUCCUACGGGAGGCAGCAGUGGGGAAUUUUGGACAAUGGGCGAAAGCCUGAUCCAGCAAUGCCGCGUGAGUGAAGAAGGCCUUCGGGUUGUAAAGCUCUUUCAGUCGAGAAGAAAAGGUCGCGACUAAUAAUCGCGACUCAUGACGGUAUCGACAGAAGAAGCACCGGCUAACUACGUGCCAGCAGCCGCGGUAAUACGUAGGGUGCGAGCGUUAAUCGGAAUUACUGGGCGUAAAGGGUGCGCAGGCGGCUUUGUAAGUCAGAUGUGAAAUCCCCGGGCUUAACCUGGGAAUUGCGUUUGAAACUACAAAGCUAGAGU